UACGUAGGGUGCGAGCGUUGCCCGGAUUUAUUGGGCGUAAAGGGCGCGUAGGCGGCCACGUGCGUCCGUUGUGAAAUCGCCCGGCUCAACUGGGCGGGGUCAGCGGAUACGGCGUGGCUGGAGCAAGCUAGGGGGCAAUGGAAUUCCCGGUGUAGUGGUGGAAUGCGUAGAUAUCUGGAGGAACACCGGUGGCGAAGGCGGCAUCCUGGACCAACACUGACGCUGAGUGAGCGAAAGCCAGGGGAGCAAACGGG
RNAcentral lists this ribosomal RNA (254 nucleotides) under uncultured bacterium. Its description in RNAcentral is "partial 16S ribosomal RNA". It matches the Rfam family "Bacterial small subunit ribosomal RNA", at positions 524 to 776 of the family's 1533-position model. The record is from RNAcentral.